RNAcentral lists this ribosomal RNA (2648 nucleotides) under Ctenocephalides felis (cat flea). RNAcentral describes it as "eukaryotic LSU rRNA". The stretch from base 1 to 2352 matches the Rfam family "Eukaryotic large subunit ribosomal RNA". The record is from RNAcentral. Lineage: Eukaryota; Metazoa; Arthropoda; Insecta; Siphonaptera; Pulicidae.
GGAAGAGCCCAGCACUAAAUCCAGCAACCGGAGACGGACGCUGGGAAAUGUAAUGUUAGGGAGAAUCCGGGUGCGUUGCGGCGAGUUCAAGAUCAUUUACCCAUAGAUGGUGCCAGGCCCGUGGUGAACGUUGCGCGUAUCGAGAGGAUCUCUCAUCAGAGUCGAGUUGCUUGAGAGUGCAGCUAUAAGUGGGUGGUAAACUCCUUCUAAGGCUAAAUAUGACCGCGGGCCGGUAGCGAGCAAGUACCGUGAGGGAAAGUUGAAAAGAACUUUGAAGAGAGAGUUCAAGAGCACGUGAAACCGUUCAGGGGUAAACCUGAGAAACCCGAAAGAUCGAAAGGAAAGAUUUAAUGUUAUCGUUGUCUUCCAUUUAUUGGCGUGCUAUUGACCGGGAUUCGUCUUGCGAUACGCCGUCGGUUUAUGCGUUAGGCGCCGAUGGCAUGCACUUCUCUCUCAGUAGGACGUCGCGACCCGUUUGGUGUCGAUCUACUUUCAGGACUCGUCUUGAAACACGGACCAAGGAGUCUAGCAUGUGUGCGAGUCAUUGGGAAAUAUAAAACCUAAAUGCGCAAUGAACGUAAAGGUUUCUUAAGUGAACUGAGGGAUGACGGACUGCAUGUACGAAUGCGUGCUUGCAAUCCCGGCGCGUUUCACUCUCAUUACGAGAAUAGACGCACUCAGAGCGUACACGGUAGGACCUGAAAGAUGAUAAACUAUGCCCGGUCAGGUCAAAGUUAGGGAAAACCCUGAUGGAGGACCGUAGCGAUUCUGACGUGCAAAACGUUCGUCGGAACAUGGUAUAGGGGCGAAAGACUAAUUGAACCAUCUAGUAGCUGGUUCCCUUCGAAGUUUCCCUCAGGAUAGCUGGCAUGCGAUGAUCGAGUCUCAUUUGGUAAAGCGAAUGAUUAGAGGCCUUGGGGCCGAAACGACCUCAACCUAUUCUCAAACUUUAAAUGGGUGAGAUCUCCGGCUUGCUUGAAUAGUGAAGCCGGAGAUUUAGUUUAGAGUGCCUAGUGUGCCAUUUUUGGUAAGCAGAACUGGCGCUGUGGGAUGAACCAUCGCCGAGUUAAGGCGCCUAAACGACGCUCAUGGGAUACCAUGAAAGGCGUUAGUUGCUAAAGAUAGCAGGACGGUGGCCAUGGAAGUUGGAGUCCGCUAAGGAGUGUGAAACAACUCACCUGCCAAAGCAACUGGCCAUGAAAAUGGAUGGCGCUGAAGCGUCGUGCCUUUACUCGUCCGCCAGGGCAUGAGGAGCGUUCAUUAUAGUUCGUUUUGGAACCCUGGUGAGUAGGAGGGGCGUGGUGGUGUGUUCAGAAGGGUUUGGGCGUAAGCCUGCCUGGAGCCGCUAUCGGUGCAGAUCUUUGUCAGUCCUCCAGCGAGGCCCUGGAAGACUGACGUGGAGAAGGGUUUUGUGUGAACAGCCCUUGCACACGAGUCAGUCGAUCCUAAGCCCUAGGAGAAAUCCUAUGUUGAUGUUGGUAUAUUUUAUUUUGAAUAAAAUCUCACAACCAUUGGGAAUAAGGGAAUCCAGUUCCUAUUCCGGAACCCGGCAGCGAAACCGUCUAUAAGUCGGGCCCUCGCAAGGAAUUUCAUCGAGGUAACCCAAAAUGACCUGGAAAAGCCGUCGGGAAAUACGGGGAGAGAUUUCUUUUCCGUAUGAGCGUUUGAGUUUCCUAGAAUCCUCUAGUAGGGAGAUAGGGUUUGGAACGCGAAGAGCACCGCAGUUGCGGCGGUGUCCGUAUCUUGCCCUCGGAUCUUAAAAAUCCAUGAGAGGGCCACGGUAGGUGUCGCGCCGGUUUGUACUCAUAUCCUCAGCAGGUCUCCAAGGUGAAGAGCCUCUAGUCGAUAGAUUAAUGUAGGUAAGAAAAGUCGGCAAAUUGAAUCCGUAACUUCGGGAUGAGGAUUGGCUCUGAGGAUCGGGGCGUGCCGGGCUUGGUUGGGAAACCGAGCCUGGGCGAGGUAAAAUAGUCCUUGUGACUUAGAUCCGAGCUCUGUCCCGUGCCUAGACCCUCCGCCGAUCUUUCUCGCUUCGAGUUUUCUGUGCCGGCUUUGGUCGGUCAAUCGUAAUCUCCGGCCGCUAUUCAACGGUCAGCUCAGAACUGGCACGGACUAGACAAAUCCAAUUGUCUAAUUAAAACAAAGCAUUGCGAUGGCCCUAGCGGGUGUUGACGCAAUGUGUAUUCUGCCCAGUGCUCUGAAUGUCAACGUGAAGAAAUUCAAGCAAGCGCGGGUAAACGUCGGAAGGUAUCCAAAUGCUUCGUCAUCUAAUUAGUGAUCCGCAUGAAUGGAUUAACGAGAUUUUCACUAUCCCUAUCUACUUGCCUGCAGAUGCCCUAGCGCGCUGCUGCCGGUCCUAAGCCCGGGUAAAGGAGAAAGGUUGUGGGGCGAGAACAACUUUGAUCCCACAUAAAAGCGGCACAUACCGCAAGCUUUAGGUCAUGUCUCUGGAGAGCGGGGUCCUUGGCUUAAUCGCCCGGGUCACGAGAAAGGAUCCUCUAUAAAAAAAACACCCUCAACUUUAAGGUAGAGCGCGCGCCGAAGGUGUGAAUGGCUGUGAGGAAAUACAGCUACGAGCGGCCAACUCCGAGGCACCAGCCGACACCUCGGCAGUAAUAGGGUUACCCAGGCAUUGGGUGCACUACCUGGGC